UACGUAGGGCGCAAGCGUUGUCCGGAAUUAUUGGGCGUAAAGAGCUCGUAGGCGGUUUGUCGCGUCGGCCGUGAAAACCUACAGCUUAACUGUGGGCUUGCGGUCGAUACGGGCAGACUUGAGUUCGGCAGGGGAGACUGGAAUUCCUGGUGUAGCGGUGAAAUGCGCAGAUAUCAGGAGGAACACCGGUGGCGAAGGCGGGACUCUGGGCUGUAACUGACACUGAGGAGCGAAAGCAUGGGGAGCGAACAGG
RNAcentral lists this ribosomal RNA (253 nucleotides) under uncultured bacterium. Its description in RNAcentral is "partial 16S ribosomal RNA". It matches the Rfam family "Bacterial small subunit ribosomal RNA", at positions 524 to 776 of the family's 1533-position model. The record is from RNAcentral.